RNAcentral lists this ribosomal RNA (253 nucleotides) under uncultured bacterium. RNAcentral describes it as "partial 16S ribosomal RNA". It matches the Rfam family "Bacterial small subunit ribosomal RNA", at positions 524 to 776 of the family's 1533-position model. The record is from RNAcentral.
UACGGGGGGGGCAAGCGUUGUUCGGAAUUACUGGGCGUAAAGGGUUUGUAGGUGGCUUGUUAAGUCAGACGUGAAAUCCCUCAGCUUAACUGGGGAACUGCGUCUGAUACUGGCGAGCUUGAGUGCAGGAGAGGAACGCGGAAUUCCAGGUGUAGCGGUGAAAUGCGUAGAUAUCUGGAGGAACACCGGUGGCGAAGGCGGCAUCCUGGACCGACACUGACACUGAGGAGCGAAAGCCAGGGGAGCAAACGGG